UUCACUCAUGUUUUACACUUUGAGUCGGGUUGUACUGUUGGUUAGGCCCAAUAUUUUCUUUAUUAGGUUUCUCAAAUAUGCUUCCUUUCUCUCUUUUGCCGUAUGUUAGAUAUUUUCUGUAAGAGGCUUUUGAAAUGUAGUGCCAUACCCAAUGCCUUCCAAAUUAACCCUAAUUUUCUUUCUCGAAAAGAGGUGAGUACAACACAUUUUCUUCCUCCCUCUGCGAUUUGUGGUGGCUUUCUUCAUACGAGUGAAGUUGCUCAUUUUUUGUUCGUUCUUGAGAGCUUGCAAUGCACUCGGAGAUAAUAGAGAAGAUAAAGAAUUACCUACUUUCUGGGGCAUUUCCAGUAGAAAUUCAGGAGUGCUAUAGUAAAAUCUUAAGCUUUUCAACUGUUCUUCAUUUUAAUGAACUCAUCAGCUGACAAAAAAUUAAACACAGAAAUGGAGUCGACCCUGAAGGUUACUUUCCACUCUUAAAUUUCUACAUUUUUAAUUUCUCUCUUUUUUUCCUUUAAGUUUCUUAACUAUUUUAUUAUUUUUAGUACAUAAAUGUUUUGGAUUUUCUCUUACCUAUGGCGAUGAUCCCUCUGAAGAUGAUGAAGACGAUGAAGAAGAAGCGCGUCAGAUGUUGAAAUAUGGAACGCAAAUAAUGCAUAAUCAGCUGCAUCGACCUGAUGAUCAGGAGCAUGAUAAUGGAGGGUAGAAACGUCAAAUUGAGGACCAUUUUUUGUUGCAUAGCAUUUUCUCCAUCUGUUAUUUUGUUGUAUAGCACGUGCUUUCAGCUAACUUGUAUAGUCUUCUGGAUCCUUCUUAUUCAUUGUAUAUAUAUGUGCAAGACUGAGCAAUUGAAAUCAUCAAGUUCACAGUAAAAUAAUUCUUAUAAUAUUCAACUGGUUGUGUAGUUUUCUCUUUUGCAAAGGAGCAUUUCAUUCCCUUAUUUUUCUUAUAUGGUAUCAAAGCCAUCGCCAUGGCUGACGAUCAAAGCUCAUCGAGGAAACAACAGACCCGAAUGGAAGUACUGAAUAAAAUUUCAACACCAACCCAAUGCCAAACAAUCAUCAUAUUCCAAAUUCUAAUGACCCUACUCAUCCCUGCAGACCCUAUUAAUUGAGGAAAAUGACCAUUCUGGUCCAAUACUAGUCACUCAUGUCCUUGACAAUACCAAUUACUCUGCUUGGGCAAGGUCUAUGAAGAUAGCACUUCGAAUCUAAAAUAAACUUGGCUUCAUUGAUGGAAGCAUUUGUGAGCCAGCAGAUUCCAACAAAUUUUUGAUCGAACACUGGUUACGUUGCAAUGAUAUAGUAAUUGCUUGGUUGCAGAACACUAUUUCCGUUGAUAUUAAGCCUCGCACACUUUAUGCUGAAACGACUCAUGAGCUCUGGUUGGACUUGGAGCAUCAGCUAGGAUAGCAGAAUGCCCCACAAAUUUAUGAGGUAAAAUAGUACAUUGCUACCUUAAUGCAAAAUGAUGACAUUGUAAGUGUAUAUUUCUCCAAAUAUAAGACACUUCUUGAUAGAUUGAUGAAUUAUGAGUCCAUUCCCAUCUGCACUUUUGGAGGUUUCAAAUCUGUCAUUGAGAACCAACAAAGAGAUUGGGUAAUGAAGUUUUUAACGGGGUUAAAUGACUCAUUUAAAGCAAUCAAGGCACAAGUCCUGCUGAUCAAGCCUUUCCCCAUUCUAAACGAGGCGUAUUCUAUAAUUCAGCAAGAAGAGAAAAGAAGACAAAUCUCAAUAGACACUUCUAUACCUGACUCUAUGGCACUUGCAACUGGAGGAAGCUUCUGUAAUGCAGCAGUGCAAAAUGGGAUGGGACAGAGAAAAUAUUAUUGUACUCUUUGCAAAAUACCUGGACAUUCACUAGAAAGAUGCACUAAGGCCAAUCCUAACAGGACACUCCAUUGACAAAUGCUAUAAGAUUCAUGGAUAUCCCCCGUAGCACAGGUUGUAUGGAAAAGGAAAAGGCCUAUGCAGACCUAGUUUCCUUGCAGGGACAAGGAGAAGUUAACAAUGAGAAUCAGGUGAUAUUCACUCAGGAGCAACAUGCACAACUCUUAGCACUACUGCAGUUACAAAACAGCAAAUGCCUUACUAGCACAAUCCCAGCAGACACAAACUCCCAACCUUUUUGGUAUAUCAUCUUCUCUAUUAGCUUAUGGCAUCAAACAUAUUAAGGACCAUAGCACACCAUAGAUAAUAGAUACAAGAGAAAUAGACCACAUGGUCUGUUGCACCUCAUUCUAUAGCAAUAUUCUAGCCAAAGUGUUCUAUUCAGUCAUCCUUCCAAACGGUGAUCCAAUUAAUGUAACACACACAGGAAUUGUAAAAAUCACAUAGAAGAUAAUUCUAAACAAUGUACUUUGUGUUCCAUCAUUUGCAUUCAAUCCAAUAUUUGCUAGAAAAUUGACAGAAACCUCCAAAUGCUGUCUAAUAUUUUUUCCUGAAAAAAUGCUUUGUGCAGGACCUUUUGACUUGGAAAAUGACUGGAAUGGGUGAAGUGAGGCAAUGACUAUAUCACCUGUUACGAUCCAAAGUCUCUCCUUCAGUCUUAACAGAAGCUCUUGCUUUUAUUACAAACAAAACCUCUAUGUCAGUAGCCACUCUUAGCAACAAUAAAGAUUUUGAUCUCUGGUACCAUAGGCUGGGACAUCCAUUCCAUUCUAGAUUAGAUCUAUUGAAUAUCAAUUGCAGUCCUAAGCUUGUCAAGGAAACCUGUUCUAUCUAUCCCAUGGCCAAAAUGCAUAAAUUACCAUUUUUAGUCAGUUAUCACAAAUAUAAGAAAAUUUCUGAUCUUGCAUUGAAACUAGUUAUGAUGGAUCUAAAUAUUUAUUAUCCAUAGUUGAUGAUUUUAGCAUGUGCACUUGGGUUUAUAUGUUAAAGCUAAAGUAGAUGCUACUGCAGCUUUGCAAGGUUUUUGUGCCUUAAUAAACACUCAAUUCCAGUCAAAGUAAAGGUAAUUAGGACAGACAAUGGAUGGGAAUUUGAAA
Molecule: long non-coding RNA, 2983 nt
Filed under: Olea europaea subsp. europaea
Lineage: Eukaryota; Viridiplantae; Streptophyta; Magnoliopsida; Lamiales; Oleaceae
Source: RNAcentral